UAAAAAUGGAGCACAGGGUUAAGGGCAGAUAGCCCUGAGGCCCUCCAACACUGUGGUGUGAUAGAGGAGAAAUAGUCGAGAAAAGAACCACGGACAUGGCCAAAGAGGUGAGUGGGAAAUCGCAGGAGUUUGAGGUCAUGGAAAUCUAGAGAAAAAUGGAGGGAAUAAUCCCUAGUAAAGCUACGAUAAAGUCAUGUAAAAUACAGAGAACUGAUCGCUAGUUUUGGCAAAAGGUUGGUCUUUUAUUCAAUAACUAUUUAUUUAGUACCAACUCUGUAUUAGAUACUGCUCAAGGGACGAGUGAACAAAACAGAUGAAAAUCCCUGUCCUCCUGGGUUUCAUAAUCUGGCGCGGGGAGGUGGAAGGUGAACAAUUAAAUCACAGUGUUAACCUUGAAAGUAAGACCUGCUUGUUAUUAUACCUGCAAAAGAGUUGAUUUGGGACUAAAAGAGGAUUUGCAAUCUGGGACAAACUAGCUGUAGCAAAACCCUAGGCAAGUGGGGAGCGGGGGACAAAGGAGAGGCAUGCUCAAGGAGAAAAGGGGUAAUUUGGAAAGGCUAUUGCGGACUAAAAGUCCCCUGGAGUAAACUGGGAGUUCGAAGCGCGGUGGCUUCUCAUUGGCUGAGCUGUUGCGGGAGGGGCGGGGUUAAGGAAAGCCGGUCCUCCUCCAGCAGGCCGCGUAGAGGAGUAUCUUGGGCAGGGUCAAGUCAGUCUCUUCCUGUUGGGCCUGCAAUUGACUACUGAGUGAUAAGGUGUCAAUGCUCCCCCCUGUGGAAACCUCCCGACUUUAUUUUAGGGAGGUUCCCCCUUACUAAUUUUCACAAUAGCAUGCUGGUUGGUGAUAAGCACUUUGCAGAAAACUAAAGCAGGGAGGAAGCGAGUUCAGGAUGAGGUGGGUAGGGCAGGGUGGUGAUUAAAAUAGGGUGAGCAGGGAGAACCACACAGGUGACUUUUGAAGACCUGAAUGAGCAGAGGGCAUGAAUGAGCUAUGCAGGGCCCUGGAGGAAGAGCCCUUAAAGGGGGAGAACACCUGCCAAAGAAAUUGCCUGGAAAGUACAAAGACUCACCAGGAUACUGGCCUGGCUGGAGCAGAGCCACCUGUGUUGCUGCCGGAAGGAAGGACAACCACACUUACAUACAUACGGUAACCUCCCCUGAGGAGAAUUAGGUGUGUAUUUGAAAGUUUUUGUUUUUCAAGCUGGACUUAAAAAAUACAGAGUAUCAAAACCCUCCUUUGUGCCUUCGUCCAGCCUUCACUGCCCCUUCUUUUGAAAACUGGACUCUUAGGAUUCUCCCCAAAUUCUGAAGAAAGAACACUGCCUCCUGAGCUGUGAUAAUGACCCUGUUACUGACUUCCCAGCCAGGAUCAAAUAGAAUAGCAAAAGACAUUUCAAAAAGUUUCAGUGGCUCCCAGAAGGUAGUAAAGAGCUGCCACAUACAUGCGAUUGAAAGAAAUACCAGCACCUGAAUGCUCCAGCUUCUGCCGCUGAGACAUGGAGGUAGGGACACUGGUUCCUGGUGAAAAAUGAGGAUGAUGGCCUAUAUUGAGUCAAGCCAUCAAUCCAGUUAUUAAUAAACCCAUAGACUUGUAACUGACAAAAAUGAAAGUUCCUUUAAGGGUCCACUGGUAAACUAAGAUCUGGAAAAGAAAUGUCUGGCAAUGGGAGUGAAAUCCAAACCACAGUAAGCUACAUUCAGUUGUUUUCAUGAAAUAGCUCGCUUUAGAGCUUUGUUGCAUUAAAAAAAAACCCACGACAUAAGAAAACAGAGUGGCAUUCCUCUGGAACCAGUGGAAUCAGAGGGAUCAUACAGUUAGAAAGAGUUCUUUGCAAAUACCGGGGAUCCAAAUCUCCUUUCCUUAUGUAACAUGGAAGAAAUUCUAGACUCGUGUGUGAUAUAUAGUCAGUGGACUUGUAGGGUAAUUCUUCUUGUGUGGGGAGAAAUGUAUGCAGUCCUGGGAACAGACCCAAAUAAAGUUUAAAACAG
Felis catus (domestic cat) is the source of this 1986-nucleotide long non-coding RNA. RefSeq lists it as uncharacterized. Lineage: Eukaryota; Metazoa; Chordata; Mammalia; Carnivora; Felidae. The record is from RefSeq and is a predicted model, not a curated record. The transcript is spliced from 3 exons.